RNAcentral lists this long non-coding RNA (1708 nucleotides) under Salvia miltiorrhiza (redroot sage). RNAcentral describes it as "long non-coding RNA (SMIL_LNC011996)". The record is from RNAcentral. Lineage: Eukaryota; Viridiplantae; Streptophyta; Magnoliopsida; Lamiales; Lamiaceae.
CUUCCAAUUGAUUUGUCGCUGAGAAAGAGGAUGUCCGUCGCUGAACUGAAGGAGUUUUGUUUUAAGGUCUACUCUCAAUUCCUCUUUGUUUUAUUUUGUGCGUGUUUUAAAAUGUGUGGUGUUGUAGAAUGGUGCUAAUGGAGUUUUGUGUGAUGGGCGCGGGAAGUUGUAUUGGGCGCGGAAUCGCGGAGAAGAAUGCAAAGCAAAGGGGAUAGUUGUGCUUUUUGCGUGGGUUUCGGUUGGCGAUGUUCAAUUGAAGGAUUUAGUCGCUCUCUACUCUUCUCUAGGAUGGGAUUGUCUCAUUUCCCGUUCCGAUUAUCUCAACCCGUACGUUAUUUUUCCUUUUUUCUAUUAAAAGAUAAUUACUGUGUUAUGCAGUUCGUUGCGUUUGUUGGAUGAUUGUGGUUGUGUUUGAAGUGUACCGUUCUUGAGUUGGUUGUAUUAUUGGCUGAGGUGGAGUUUCAAAUUGUAGCGUUUUGUAAGCACUUCUGUAUUCCACAGUUUGGGGGAUAUUGUGUUUGUGUUGCUGUGCGAAGUGAGAGCAAGUUGAAGAUGAAAUUGCUAGUUUCUGGCGAGUUAGAGUAAUUACAUUAGAGUAUGCAGUAGAUUGAAUUAGUGCUGGCUGGAGGGUGCUUCAGCUGACCCUAGUAACCCCCCCGAGUGCUUGAAUUUUCUGACCAGAGCUCUGAAAGAUGCAACUUCAAAGUCUAUCUGUACCUUCGUUAGGUAUCAAAUUGAAAUCUUAGUGGGAAGUUUAUCAGAAUACGAUUUUAUUCUACUUGCUAUUUGCUAUCUUUCUACAGACAUUGGCCUCUGAUACUAUUUGCUAUCUUUCUACAGAUUCAUUCCGGAGAGAGCUACAUCACUGGCCUUUUCGGUCCUUGAUGAGCUUGUUAAGGUUUUCAUUACCUAAUCAUCCAUCUUUUUCUUCACAGAUUAGUCUUUGUGAAGUUUGUGAAGCUUGUGCGUGUUUCAAUUUGUGAAGUUUGUGUUAACUAGAUUCUGCUUACAGAUUAGUCUUUGUAACUAGGAAUAUGAAUUUAUCAGCAAUAUUAUCCUUGAAGAGACACUAAACUGAAUUGAGGUUGCUGGGAGUUAUAAGGAUUUGAUGAACAAUAUUUGUCUCGGUAUUCAGUUUGCUCAGUUGGGUGAUCUUAUUUGUGGUUUUGAGUUGUAGUAUUUUCUUGCUUGGUCAUAAAAGUUUGCAUUUGAAGGAAUGGUGAAGUUUUAUGGCACUUAGUUUAUUGCUUGCUUCAGAAACAGGUACACAAACAGUUGGUGGAAGAAAACUCAAAAAGCUGAAGCCCCCCAUCAACCCCCCCUCCCCCACCCCCGAGCAUCUCCAAGACUAGCAGGCCUAGGGGAAGGCCGAGAAAGGUGAAUCCACAGCCAUUUCAGACGGGAUUUGAAGCCUAAGAUGCGUGCUGCCCCUUUUAACAUAGAGGUUUAUGUGUGACUAAGUCAUGUUAGGUGUCUCAAAGUUGUUUGAAUAUGAAUGAUUAUUUGACAGCAGCUAUUUGAUGGGAAAGAGAGAUCUUAUAUAUGCAUUUUAAAGGUAUAUCAGAUGACAUUUAAUAAAGGUAUACAUAAUUGAAAUCAAUGAGUUGAUUAGUCAUCUAUUUUUGAUAAUGUUAGUAAUUAUAUGAUGCUACCAACAUUGGACAGGCAAAGCUACAGUGGUUAUGGAAACGAGUGGUGCUGGAAAAUC